AAGGAUUUAAGUUAAACUUAAACUAAUAACCUUCAAAGUUGUAAAUAGACUUUUCUCUAAGCCUUA
This 66-nucleotide transfer RNA is filed under the name Cucujoidea sp. 21 KM-2017. RNAcentral's name for it is "tRNA-Trp". Lineage: Eukaryota; Metazoa; Arthropoda; Insecta; Coleoptera. The record is from RNAcentral.